GAUGAACGCUGGCGGCGUGCCUAAUACAUGCAAGUCGAACGAACAGAUGAGGCGCUUGCUCCUCUGACGUUAGGGGCGGACGGGUGAGUAACACGUGUAUAACCUCCCUAUAAGACUGGUAUAACUUCGGAAAACCGGAGCUAAUACCGGAUAAUCUCUUGAACCACAUGGUUCAAUAGUGAAAUACGGUUUUGCUGUCACUUCUCGCUGGAUCCGCGCCGCAUUGGCUAGUUGGUAAGGUAAAGGCUUACCAAGGCAACGAUGCGUAGCCGAGCUGAGAGGGUGAUCGGCCACCCUGGAACUGAGACACGGCCCAGACUCCUACGGGAGCCAGCAGUAGGGAAUCUUCCGCAAUGGGCGAAAGCCUGACGGAGCAACGCCGCGUGAGUGAUGAAGGUCUUCGGAUCGUAAAACUCUGUUAUUAGGUAAGAACAAAUGUGUAAGUAACUAGGCACGUCUUGACGGUACCUAAUCAGAGAGCCACGGCUAACUACCUG
Molecule: ribosomal RNA, 497 nt
Filed under: uncultured bacterium
Lineage: Bacteria
Description: partial 16S ribosomal RNA
Rfam family: Bacterial small subunit ribosomal RNA
Source: RNAcentral